CCUACGGGGGGCAGCAGUGAGGAAUAUUGGUCAAUGGACGAGAGUCUGAACCAGCCAAGUAGCGUGAAGGAUGACUGCCCUAUGGGUUGUAAACUUCUUUUAUAUGGGAAUAAAAUGUUCCACGUGUGGGUUUUUGUAUGUACCAUAUGAAUAAGGAUCGGCUAACUCCGUGCCAGCAGCCGCGGUAAUACGGAGGAUCCGAGCGUUAUCCGGAUUUAUUGGGUUUAAAGGGUGCGUAGGCGGAGUGUUAAGUCAGUUGUGAAAGUGUGCGGCUCAACCGUAAAAUUGCAGUUGAAACUGGUAGGCUAGAGUACAGUAGAGGUAGGCGGAAUUCGUGGUGUAGCGGUGAAAUGCUUAGAUAUCACGAAGAACACCGAUUGCGAAGGCAGUUCACUGAACUGCAACUGACGCUGAGGCUCGAAAGUGUGGGUAUCAAACAGGAUUAGAUACCCGGGUAGUC
RNAcentral lists this ribosomal RNA (460 nucleotides) under uncultured bacterium. Its description in RNAcentral is "partial 16S ribosomal RNA". It matches the Rfam family "Bacterial small subunit ribosomal RNA", at positions 338 to 795 of the family's 1533-position model. The record is from RNAcentral.